CCUCAUGUGGAAGGCCACCGUACUCCCUCAAAUCAAGGGUGAUGGGUCACCAUCUUGAAUCAGAGAGCCAUACCCCACAGGAGACGCUCACUAUCAUCAAGGAUGGAGUGGAGGAGCAGAUCGCAAACUUCGCCCGCGUUCUCUGGUAUGCACAACAGCACCAAUUCCAAGGUGUUCUGACACUAGUAGGGAAAACCUUAUACACAGAAGCUUACCAGUAGCGCUUUUUAAAAGGAGGCGAUGCUGCUACUUAGCAGUAGCGCGUGUACAAAAACAGUGCUACUAAUAAACUCAUAUCAAUAGCGUGGCUGUUAUAAAAUGCACUACUACUAUAAUUGCUUCACCAUUCCCGACAGGCUAGGUAUAGUAGUAGCGUCCUUCCUAAACCAGCGUUGCUGCUAUUCUACUUAGCUGUAGCACUUGGCACCAACCCACGCUGCUGCUAUGCCCAUCUUAUCCACCCCAUGCGCUCCCUCUCUCUUCCUCACUCCCGGCCCCUCACUCCCGGCCCCUCACUCCCGGCUCACACUAUCGCUCCCUCUCUACC
RNAcentral lists this long non-coding RNA (547 nucleotides) under Hordeum vulgare. RNAcentral describes it as "long non-coding RNA (HVUL_LNC005657)". Lineage: Eukaryota; Viridiplantae; Streptophyta; Magnoliopsida; Poales; Poaceae. The record is from RNAcentral.